This is a long non-coding RNA of Passer domesticus (house sparrow), 677 nucleotides long. RefSeq lists it as uncharacterized. The transcript is spliced from 3 exons. Lineage: Eukaryota; Metazoa; Chordata; Aves; Passeriformes; Passeridae. The record is from RefSeq and is a predicted model, not a curated record.
UGGGGUUACUCUGAUGAGGCACCACACCCAGGAGACACAGGAAGCAUCAACAGAGAAGGAGCUCCUUUAAUUCUACCACUCACAGAGGUGGCCAAAAGUUACACUGAGAAGGGAAAGAUAAAGCCCAGGAAAGAACACUUUCAGGAAUAACUGGAUAUGGUUAAAUGGUCUAUAUUAUUCUGGAUCAUAAGGGACACUUGUUGCCUGAAAGAGCCUAUGAUAAUUCCAGCCCUCUUACAGAUAGACUAACUUCAAACAAAAGAAAAGAAACUCAACUGGCUUCAAAAUCACUCCAGCUGCAUGGCCCAGCUGGAGGGAGACAGAAGGCAUUAUUCCCUGUUGACUCCUUCAGGGGUUGGAAGGGCCCAGUGUUGUUCUUGACAGUUUGAUACUUCAGGCCAGUGCUGGGGGGACGAGAAGAGGCACAUUCUCCCUGGCUUACCCUCGAGUGUGUUUUACAUGCUGAGAUGUACGUGUGCCAUUGACACUCCUUCUGCUGCCUCUGCUGACGGGCUCCAUCAGACCCUGGGGCAUGAGGCAGGAGCCCAUCCGUUCACUUGAGCAGCAUUUCAGUACCAGAUCCCCAAGAGCAUUAGAAGUAUAUCCCUACAACUGGAAUGUGCAGUGGAUUUUGCUGGUCUGUCCAUCCAUCCUUCUCUUCAGAAACCUUUGGUCAG